Molecule: long non-coding RNA, 573 nt
Filed under: Pan troglodytes (chimpanzee)
Lineage: Eukaryota; Metazoa; Chordata; Mammalia; Primates; Hominidae
Description: lincRNA
Source: RNAcentral
AUUAAAUGAGGAUCUGGUAGGUGCAAAGCUUUCUGCUAACACCUUCAGCACCUUGCAUUCUUUAUUUUCUCAUUUAUCUCUUGGCAUUUUGUUGUUGCCCGUAUCCCCACGACCCACGAAUCCAGAGAGUCUCGCUCUGUUGCCAGGCUGGAGUACAGUGACGCAACCUCGGCUCACUGCAACCUCUGCCUCCCGGGUUCAAGCAAUUCUCCUGCUUCGGGAAGGAAAGAAGGAAGGAAGGAAAGAAGGAAAAGACAGAAAGAAAAAGAAGGAAAAGACAGAAAGAAAAAGAAAGAAAGAAAGAAAGAAAAGAAAAGAAAGAAAAGAAAGAGAGAGAGGGAAGAGAGAGAAGGGAGGGAGGGAGAGAGAGAGACAGGAAGGAAGGAAGGAAGGAAGGAAGGAAGCAAGGAAAAGAAAAGAGAGAGAGAAAGAAAGAAAGAAAAAGAAAGAAAGAAAGGAAGAAAGAAAGGAAGGAAGGAAGGAAGAAAGAAAGAAAGAAAGAAAGAUUGAUUUUAAGGAAUUGGAUCACACAGUUGUGGAGGCCAGCAGAUCCAAAGUCUGCAGAGUCCAGAG